AUUGAACGCUGGCGGAAUGCUUUACACAUGCAAGUCGAACGGUAGAGGGGGCAACCCCUCGAGAGUGGCGAACGGGUGAGUAAUAUAUCGGAACGUGCCCAGUCGUGGGGGAUAACGUAGCGAAAGUUACGCUAAUACCGCAUACGAUCUAAGGAUGAAAGCGGGGGAUCGCAAGACCUCGCGCGAUAGGAGCGGCCGAUAUCAGAUUAGGUAGUUGGUGGGGUAAAGGCCCACCAAGCCAACGAUCUGUAGCUGGUCUGAGAGGACGACCAGCCACACAGGAACUGAGACACGGUCCAGACUCCUACGGGAGGCAGCAGUGGGGAAUUUUGGACAAUGGGCGAAAGCCUGAUCCAGCCAUUCCGCGUGCAGGAUGAAGGCCCUCGGGUUGUAAACUGCUUUUGUACAGAACGAAAAGGUUUCUACUAAUACUAGGAGCUCAUGACGGUACUGUAAGAAUAAGCACCGGCUAACUACGUGCCAGCCGCCGCUGUAA
RNAcentral lists this ribosomal RNA (496 nucleotides) under uncultured bacterium. RNAcentral describes it as "partial 16S ribosomal RNA". It matches the Rfam family "Bacterial small subunit ribosomal RNA", at positions 30 to 523 of the family's 1533-position model. The record is from RNAcentral.